This 828-nucleotide long non-coding RNA is filed under the name Homo sapiens (human). RNAcentral's name for it is "novel transcript". The record is from RNAcentral. Lineage: Eukaryota; Metazoa; Chordata; Mammalia; Primates; Hominidae.
GGGGGGAGGCGGGGGCAGCCACCUGGCCCGGACGGCUGCGGUCUGGAGGGCUGUCAACAAAGUGGUGUAGGAGGACGCCAGUUACUGCACGGAAAGCAGCGUCAGGAGCCAUAGUACCUACAGCAGCACUCCAGAAAUUUCCAAGGAAACUAUAUUUCUUACAUUGAUGGAAAUGUAUGGAAAGCAUACAGUUGGACUGAGAAACUAAUUCUCAGAGAAAAUAACUUGACUGAAUUACACAAGGAUUCAUUUGAAGGCCUGCUAUCCCUCCAGUAUUUAGAUUUAUCCUGCAAUAAAAUACAGUCUAUUGAAAGACAUACAUUUGAACCACUACCAUUUUUGAAGUUUAUAAAUCUUAGUUGCAAUGUAAUUACAGAACUCAGCUUUGGAACAUUUCAGGCCUGGCACGGAAUGCAGUUUUUACAUAAGUUGAUCUUACCUAGCCAUAUGGCCUGCUGCCUCUGCCAACUUAAAAACAGCAUUGAGGCUGUCUGCAAGACAGUCAAGCUGCAUUGCAACAGUGCAUGUCUGACAAACACCAUACAUUGUCAUGUGUUGUCACCGAAGGUCAUUACAAGAAGAUGAAGAAGGAUUCUCAAGGGGCAUUUUCAGGUUUCUGCCACGGAGGAGAUGCUCUUCACGAAGGGAGAGUCAGGUACAUUGGAGGAUUCAUUGCUGUGGCCAGGGAAGGCAGAGGACAUGCAAAAUUAGUAUUUCCCUUUCUAUCUUCUAGGAUGGACUUUUUUCAUUCAGACGGCCGCUCUGGCUUAAAGAUAUGUACAAACCUCUCAGUGCCACAAGAGUAAAUAAUCACGCAUGGAAGCUGCA